GUCGGUGUAGUUUAAUGGGCAGAACAACUGAUUCGUAAUCAGUAAAUUGCAGUUCGAAUCUGCACACCGGCA
Molecule: transfer RNA, 72 nt
Filed under: Coxiella endosymbiont of Amblyomma sculptum
Lineage: Bacteria; Pseudomonadati; Pseudomonadota; Gammaproteobacteria; Legionellales; Coxiellaceae
Description: tRNA-Thr
Rfam family: tRNA
About the family: Transfer RNA (tRNA) molecules are approximately 80 nucleotides in length.
Source: RNAcentral